Molecule: long non-coding RNA, 378 nt
Filed under: Calidris pugnax (ruff)
Lineage: Eukaryota; Metazoa; Chordata; Aves; Charadriiformes; Scolopacidae
Description: lncRNA (ENSCPUG00000013735.1)
Source: RNAcentral
AUGGUCACUUGGCUUGGACCCCACCUCAACCCACCUCCCUACAGAGAGUGAGCGCAGGUAACUUCUUCAGUGUGGAGUUCUGCUUUUGCCUCAGGAUCUUACUCCAGUUCCUGCAGCCCCAGGGAGGGGAUGCUUUUUCCUGACUUCACCCCACCCGGGCAGCGUGGGUGUCUCAGCAGUGCUCAUACCUGCCUUGCAGCUCCGAUUCCAUGGCCCCGUGAAUCUGUGUGCACUCUGAACACAUUGCAUUCAAGCACCUACUGCUGCCCAGGAUCACACAAAGAAGAAUUAAUGGACCAUUCAGAAAGAAACAAUCUCUGCGAGGAAUGAUGCAAAUCAAUCAUCUGUGAGUGGCUGAUGUCCCCACGCAGUCACUUG